AGGGGAGUAGCUCAACUGGUAGAGCAUCCGUCUCCAAAGCGGAGGGUUGGGGGUUCAAGUCCCUUCUCCCCUGCCA
RNAcentral lists this transfer RNA (76 nucleotides) under Kofleria flava. Its description in RNAcentral is "tRNA-Trp". It matches the Rfam family "tRNA". Rfam says of the family: Transfer RNA (tRNA) molecules are approximately 80 nucleotides in length. Their secondary structure includes four short double-helical elements and three loops (D, anti-codon, and T loops). Lineage: Bacteria; Pseudomonadati; Myxococcota; Haliangiales; Kofleriaceae. RNAcentral also lists the same sequence under 4 other names. The record is from RNAcentral.